RNAcentral lists this long non-coding RNA (1107 nucleotides) under Oncorhynchus kisutch (coho salmon). Its description in RNAcentral is "lncRNA (ENSOKIG00005029277.1)". Lineage: Eukaryota; Metazoa; Chordata; Actinopteri; Salmoniformes; Salmonidae. The record is from RNAcentral.
AUGCACUACUAUACUAUUUACUACUCUACAAUGCACUACUAUACUAUUUACUACUCUACAGUGCACUACUAUACUAUAUACUACUCUACAAUGCACUACUAUACUAUUUACUACUCUACAGUGCACUACUAUACUAUUUACUACUCUACAGUGCACUACUAUACUAUAUACUACUCUACAGUGCACUACUAUACUAUACUACUCUACAGUGCACUACUAUACUAUUUACUACUCUACAGUGCACUACUAUACUAUAUACUACUCUACAGUGCACUACUAUACUAUAUACUACUCUACAGUGCACUACUAUACUAUAUACUACUCUACAGUGCACUACUAUACUAUAUACUACUCUACAGUGCACUACUAUACUAUAUACUACUCUACAGUGCACUACUAUACUAUAUACUACUCUACAGUGCACUACUAUACUAUAUACUACUCUACAGUGCACUACUAUACUAUAUACUACUCUACAGUGCACUACUAUACUAUAUACUACUCUACAGUGCACUACUAUACUAUAUACUACUCUACAGUGCACUACUAUACUAUAUACUACUCUACAGUGCACUACUAUACUAUUUACUACUCUACAGUGCACUACUAUACUAUAUACUACUCUACAGUGCACUACUAUACUAUAUACUACUCUACAGUGCACUACUAUCCUAUACACUACUCUACAGUGCACUACUAUACUAUAUACUACUCUACAGUGCACAACUAUACUAUAUACUACUCUACAGUGCACUACUAUACUAUAUACUACUCUACAGUGCACUACUAUACUAUAUACUACUCUACAGUGCACUACUGUACUGUGCACUACUAUACUAUAUACUGCUCUACAGUGCACUACUAUCCUAUAUACUACUAUACUAUAUACUACUCUACAGUGCACUAAUAUACUAUAUACUACUCUACAGUGCACUACUAUACUAUACUACUCUACAGUGCACUACUAUACUAUAUACUACUCUACAGUGCACUACUAUACUAUAUACUACUCUACUGUGCACUACUAUACUAUAUACUACUCUACUGUGCACUACUAUACUAUAUACUAUUCUACAGUGCACUACUAUACUAAAUACUACUUUAUAG